RNAcentral lists this transfer RNA (68 nucleotides) under Megaginus tataupensis. RNAcentral's name for it is "tRNA-Ser". The record is from RNAcentral. Lineage: Eukaryota; Metazoa; Arthropoda; Insecta; Psocodea; Heptapsogasteridae.
AACUUGUUAAUCUAUUAAAAGAUUUGAGCUUUGAAAGCUCAAUAUAGUAUAGUCUGUACUACAAGUUA